UCUGAGACAGGUGCUGCAUGGCUGUCGUCAGCUCGUGUUGUGAAAUGUUGGGUUAAGUCCCGCAACGAGCGCAACCCUUAUCCUUUGUUGCCAGCGGCUCGGCCGGGAACUCAAAGGAGACUGCCGGUGAUAAACCGGAGGAAGGUGGGGAUGACGUCAAGUCAUCAUGGCCCUUACGGCCAGGGCUACACACGUGCUACAAUGGCGCAUACAAAGAGAAGCGACCUCGCGAGAGCAAGCGGACCUCAUAAAGUGCGUCGUAGUCCGGAUUGGAGUCUGCAACUCGACUCCAUGAAGUCGGAAUCGCUAGUAAUCGUAGAUCAGAAUGCUACGGUGAAUACGUUCCCGGGCCUUGUACACACCGCCCGUCACACCAUGGGAGUGGGUUGCAAAAGAAGUAGGUAGCUUAACCUUCGGGAGGGCGCUUACCACUUUGUGAUUCAUGACUGGGGUGAAGUCGUAACAAGGUAGGCGUAGUGCU
RNAcentral lists this ribosomal RNA (481 nucleotides) under uncultured bacterium. Its description in RNAcentral is "bacterial SSU rRNA". It matches the Rfam family "Bacterial small subunit ribosomal RNA", at positions 1028 to 1509 of the family's 1533-position model. The record is from RNAcentral.